CUUCUGAAAGGAUUAGCUCCUAGUACCAAUACCUGCGAUUCUCGCAGCAUUGAAACUAAAAAUGAAACUAAAGCACAAAGCAUGUAAACAAGACAUGUUAAAGAGUUCACUAUUUAUAUAGCAAAUUGAUGUACAACAAAUCAUUGAUCCAGAAUUACAUCAAAUGAUAAUGUACAAAAAAUUCAAUAUAAAUACAUAAUAAUAGUUAAAUUAUCUGGACCGAUGGCUUCAUUCCCAAUACCUAACUUUAGGUAUUAAUCCACAACUUCAUUACUGUCAAAUGACAAUAAACUUGUCAUGUGUUACGCACGAAGUUUGAAUCCUUGCAGCAGGCACCAUUAGCUUUGCCAAACCUGAAAUUGAUUAGAAGUUGUUAAGAUAACUUUUAAGAGAUGAAGCAAAAUGGUGAGCAAAUUGAAACAGUAAUAGCAGGGGGGAAAAAGAUCAAGACCAGAUUUUUGGCUUCAAAUUUGUUCUUUGUAAAUACAGAAAAAGAUUAUUGAAAAAAAGAGACAACACAGGAAAGGAAAAAAAAAAACUUUGGAAGGAAAGAGAACAAAGUACAUUAGGAGGAAAAAAGUUUUGGUCUCCAGAGAGUUCAUAACACAAUCCUACCUAUCCUAUUUAUUGAAGGGAAUAAAGAGACUGCAUUUGCCACAGUUUUGGUCUCCUUUUUAACUAGAACUUUAAGCCAUUAGUAGAAAACAGCUUUAGUGUAGGAGGACACAUCCAAAGCUAACUAAAGUUGUUCAUAUGAAAAUAACAGCUUCAAAAUGCAAAAACAAGUGCACGGUUGUUUCUGCAAGUAGUUACUAGUGUGCUUAAGUGACUGCUGUUUGUUAUCACAGUGCAAAACAAAACAUCAACCUCCACUCUCCUAAAUGCCUAUGAUGCAGCAUUUUAUUAUUGCGGCACAGAGCACCCUAAUAGUACAACCUGUCGGCUGUUAUAGAUUGAAUAGUGGCCUCUGCUCCAGGAAGUCAUGAAAAGCCAGCAAAAUCAUAACCAUAGAAUGGAGUUUAGCUGGAAAUCCACUACAACGUAGCACCACGGCUGCUACUUAACAACAUUGCUUCCAUCUAAACAAAAGACUUGACUUAACUUCCUAAUCACUUUAUCGAAAAUAUAUCUCGGAAUGAGUAACAAAAGGAUAUAUCAUAUAUGUAUUUACAAGAAAACAUUCCAAAUGAAUCUGAGGUCAAGAUUCCCAACCCUGGAUUGGCUGAAAACCGAAACAUAUAUAGUGAAACUAAAAGGUAUUCUAGCUUGCUAGUUUUCCUAUUAUUUAAGACUGCAAAAGAAAAUAUCCGAAGAUCUCGCAGCAAAGGAGAAUCUUGAAAAGAAAUGCUUCGAAUCGGUAAAUUACGCAACAAGAGAAAACCUACAAAAUCAACCCAAUGAACUCAAACAAAAGGAGUAGUAUUCAAUACUUUGGGCACAAAAAGGACUCUCAAUCAACACUCUCUUCUUACACAAUACACAGCAGAAACAAUUCUACAAGCAAGUGGCAUCUCAUAAAGGCAACAUAAUGGAAUGAGUAUUGUUAACUAUCAAAACUUUCUUCACCAACAUCCAUCAACUAGUCCUACAUAGCAAAAAAAAAAAGAGAAUUUAUGAACCUCUUUCUCAAGAUCCAUCUAUGUGAAUGAAUUUAUUAGUUCUUACAUAUCACAAAAAAAGUUGAUCUAAUCUUAACCCUACAACCCCAGUUCAAUAAUGAAAGAAACACAAUCAAAUCCAUAGACAAAAAUAAAAAAGACACAUGCUUUAGCAACAAGAAUGAGUAAAUAAAGACAUUACACAGAAGAAGCUGAGAAUGAAAGAAGAGGGUUUUAAGCAAGAAAAACAAAAACCCUGUGAAAAAAAGGUACCUUUGAAGUUGCAGCAGAAAAGAUGAGUUGGAGAGGAAGUGGGUAUGGAAAAUGCCAUGGGAAGAUUGUGCAUUUACUUUACUGAGAGAGAGAUGAGAUGAGACUUUAUUGUAUUACUGCUGAUGUGCUGCCAUAGCCACUUUGUCUCUGUCUGAGAGAGAGAAAGAGAGAGAAAAAGAGAAACAGGGUUGUGUUGUGUUGUGUAUUCCGAGGUAAUUAAAUUUGGUGUUUUUCAAAAUGAAAAAGCCACAAACACGCCCUUUCUUUUCUCUCUGUGCUUGUGUGCUGAC
This 2161-nucleotide long non-coding RNA is filed under the name Trifolium pratense (red clover). RNAcentral describes it as "long non-coding RNA (TPRA_LNC001306)". The record is from RNAcentral. Lineage: Eukaryota; Viridiplantae; Streptophyta; Magnoliopsida; Fabales; Fabaceae.